Molecule: non-coding RNA, 73 nt
Organism: Trichonephila clavipes
Lineage: Eukaryota; Metazoa; Arthropoda; Arachnida; Araneae; Nephilidae
Source: the annotation of a GenBank genome assembly
GUCCCUGAAACGUAACGGAUAUCGCGUUGGACUUCUCAUCCAGAGGGUGUGGGUUCGAAUCCCACCUGGAAUA